This 699-nucleotide ribosomal RNA is filed under the name Peach yellow leafroll phytoplasma. RNAcentral describes it as "bacterial SSU rRNA". It matches the Rfam family "Bacterial small subunit ribosomal RNA", at positions 181 to 1369 of the family's 1533-position model. Lineage: Bacteria; Bacillati; Mycoplasmatota; Mollicutes; Acholeplasmatales; Acholeplasmataceae. The record is from RNAcentral.
AGUAAAGGCAUCUUUACUUUUUUAAAAGAUCUUCUUUGAAGGUAUGCUUAAGGAGGGGCUUGCGACACAUUAGUUAGUUGGUAGGGUAAAGGCCUACCAAGACUAUGAUGUGUAGCUGGACUGAGAGGUUGAACAGCCACAUUGGGACUGAGACACGGCCCAAACUCCUACGGGAGGCAGCAGUAGGGAAUUUUCGGCAAUGGAGGAAACUCUGACCGAGCAACGCCGCGUGAACGAUGAAGUACCUCGGUAUGUAAAGUUCUUUUAUUAAGGAAGAAAAAAGAGUGGAAAAACUCCCUUGACGGUACUUAAUGAAUAAGCCCCGGCUAAUUAUGUGCCAUAUAAUGGAGGUCAUCAGGAAAACAGGUGGUGCAUGGUUGUCGUCAGCUCGUGUCGUGAGAUGUUAGGUUAAGUCCUAAAAUGAGCGCAACCCUUGUCGUUAGUUGCCAGCAUGUAAUGAUGGGGACUUUAACGAGACUGCCAAUGAAAAAUUGGAGGAAGGUGGGGAUUACGUCAAAUCAUCAUGCCCCUUAUGAUCUGGGCUACAAACGUGAUACAAUGGUUGAUACAAAGAGUAGCUGAAACGCGAGUUCUUAGCCAAUCUCAAAAAAUCAAUCUCAGUUCGGAUUGAAGUCUGCAACUCGACUUCAUGAAGUUGGAAUCGCUAGUAAUCGCGAAUCAGCAUGUCGCGGUGAAUAC